RNAcentral lists this ribosomal RNA (427 nucleotides) under uncultured Alcanivorax sp. RNAcentral's name for it is "bacterial SSU rRNA". It matches the Rfam family "Bacterial small subunit ribosomal RNA", at positions 385 to 805 of the family's 1533-position model. The record is from RNAcentral. Lineage: Bacteria; Pseudomonadati; Pseudomonadota; Gammaproteobacteria; Oceanospirillales; Alcanivoracaceae.
GAUCCAGCCAUGCCGCGUGUGUGAAGAAGGCCUUCGGGUUGUAAAGCACUUUCAGUAGGGAGGAAGGCUUAUCCUUAAUACGGAUGAGUACUUGACGUUACCUACAGAAGAAGCACCGGCUAAUUUCGUGCCAGCAGCCGCGGUAAUACGAAAGGUGCAAGCGUUAAUCGGAAUUACUGGGCGUAAAGCGCGCGUAGGCGGUUUGCUAAGUCAGAUGUGAAAGCCCCGGGCUCAACCUGGGAACUGCAUUUGAAACUGGCAGGCUAGAAUGCAGUAGAGGGAGGUGGAAUUUCCGGUGUAGCGGUGAAAUGCGUAGAGAUCGGAAGGAACACCAGUGGCGAAGGCGGCCUCCUGGACUGACAUUGACGCUGAGGUGCGAAAGCGUGGGGAGCAAACAGGAUUAGAUACCGCGUAGUCCAAAGAGGAC